RNAcentral lists this ribosomal RNA (465 nucleotides) under Vreelandella stevensii. RNAcentral's name for it is "partial 16S ribosomal RNA". It matches the Rfam family "Bacterial small subunit ribosomal RNA", at positions 338 to 795 of the family's 1533-position model. Lineage: Bacteria; Pseudomonadati; Pseudomonadota; Gammaproteobacteria; Oceanospirillales; Halomonadaceae. The record is from RNAcentral.
CCUACGGGGUGCUGCAGUGGGGAAUAUUGGACAAUGGGCGAAAGCCUGAUCCAGCCAUGCCGCGUGUGUGAAGAAGGCCUUCGGGUUGUAAAGCACUUUCAGUGGGGAAGAAAGCCUUGGGGCUAAUACCCUCGAGGAAGGACAUCACCCACAGAAGAAGCACCGGCUAACUCCGUGCCAGCAGCCGCGGUAAUACGGAGGGUGCGAGCGUUAAUCGGAAUUACUGGGCGUAAAGCGCGCGUAGGCGGUCUGAUAAGCCGGUUGUGAAAGCCCCGGGCUCAACCUGGGAACGGCAUCCGGAACUGUCAGGCUGGAGUGCAGGAGAGGAAGGUAGAAUUCCCGGUGUAGCGGUGAAAUGCGUAGAGAUCGGGAGGAAUACCAGUGGCGAAGGCGGCCUUCUGGACUGACACUGACGCUGAGGUGCGAAAGCGUGGGUAGCAAACAGGAUUAGAUACCCCUGUAGUC